Molecule: small RNA, 344 nt
Filed under: Pongo abelii (Sumatran orangutan)
Lineage: Eukaryota; Metazoa; Chordata; Mammalia; Primates; Hominidae
Description: retained intron
Source: RNAcentral
GUGCUAAAACUGGGGAGCUAGUGGGCACCAUGAAGAUCUUCUGCAGUCGGGCCAAUCCGACCACGGGGUCUGUGGAGUGGCUGGAGGAGGAUGAACACUAUGAUUUCCACCAGGAGAUUGCAAGGUCAUCCUAUGCAGAUAUGCUACAUGACAAAGACAGAAAUGUAAAAUACUACCAAGGUAUCCGGGCUGCUGUGAGCAGGGUGAAGGACAGAGGACAGAAGGCCUUGGUUCUCGACAUUGGCACUGGCACGGGACUCUUGUCAAUGAUGGCGGUCACAGCAGGCGCCGACUUCUGCUAUGCCAUCGAGGUAAGCCAUUCCCUUCAGGUGUGUGUCGUGCAU